RNAcentral lists this long non-coding RNA (228 nucleotides) under Elaeis guineensis (African oil palm). Its description in RNAcentral is "long non-coding RNA (EGUI_LNC077244)". Lineage: Eukaryota; Viridiplantae; Streptophyta; Magnoliopsida; Arecales; Arecaceae. The record is from RNAcentral.
GGUCUUGCCGGAGCAUCCCCAACUCUGAUUUAGACUUUUCUUAUAGGUCCCGAUGAUGGACGCGAUCCCCUCGACUCCAGCUUCUCCGGCAUUGAUGAAAUUCUGCACCAAUAGAAUUGGCGCUAGAGGAAGGGGCCUGUGUCUUCGCAGUACCCUUAUUCUUAAAGGACUGCUCAACGGGACUGUCUCCGAUCAUCUUCUCCGACAUCUUCUUCUCCUUCUCCUGCU